AGAAAAAAGUAAAGUGACACAUGUAUAACUAGGGUGGUGGCCAUGGCGGACGGCAAGCCAGCACGAUAUUUGGAGCGGAUUGAGUUAUCUUUGAAAGCCCGAUGUCCCUAGCGACAACGUAGCGGGGGUGCCUCAGAAAAGUGAAACAUCUCAGUAUCAGGGCGCCCUAUACCUAACCCGAAACUUAAAGUUAGGGAAAAGGGAAAUAAAACAACAGAAAAUAAAUCAAACGUGUCAAACCGCAAGUAGCGGCGAGCGAACGCGGCUAUAACCCCGUAUUAGAAUUCAAAGUCAUAUCAUUUAUUCAAUAAUUUGAUUAACUUAAAAAUAAUGAGUAAGAAAAUUGAACAUGGGUGUUCACACAUCCAAGGGAACUAGAGAAGCCCCACACCAAUAGAGAUAGAGUACUGUGAAGGAAAGUUGAAAGAGAAAAAUUGAAAUAGACCUUGAAAUGUGUCACUUAGAGGCAGUUGUAACACAACGUACCUUUUGUAUAAUGGGUCCACAAGAGAGAAGAUUUGGCAAGCUAACUAAUUACUGAUAUACCUUAUUAAUGAUAAUAUCAGAAUAAUACUUAUAAGGCGCAGUGAGAGCAAGGAGGAGCCCAAUUUUAUUGAGGGCCCCCCCUUACAGUCAAAUUGUUUCCCGAAACCAGGUGAUCUAGCCAUGGGCAGUUUAUUAAGGAACGAACCGGUGGUUGUAGCAAAAACCUCGGAUGACUUAUGGCUAGGGGCGAAACGCCAAUCGAACUUGGAAAUAGCUGGUUUUCUGCGAAAACUAUUGAAGUAGUGCGUACCUAAAAAACAAUAAAUUUGAUAAAUUAUUCAUUUGCUAACUAAAGACAGAUCCCUGACUAAACAUAGGGUUCAACUAUGAAUUUGAAUUUGAUAACAAAUUAGGAAAAGCAGACGGACCAUGGGCGACAAGGUCAAUGGUCGAAAGGGAAAAAGCCCUCACCAGAAGUUAAAGUCAUUCAAACAAAAUCCAUUUUAGUGUAAAAGAGGUGUCGGGUUUAGACUAUGAGGAAGUAGGCUUGGGGCCAGCCGUCUUUGAGAGAUUACGUAACAGUUCGCUCAAUGAACCUUUCCACCUCCAAAAUAUGGGUGGCUAAAUAGUAUACUAAAACUCUGGGGGCAUAUUAUAGAAUUAAAUUUAUAUAAUAGCCCGGUAGCAGAAACGUUCUGUGUAAAUAGAAAAAUAUAGUUAAAAAUAAUUUUAGAAUACAGUUUAAGCCAAAGCUGCAAUCAGAAGCGAUAAUGUGGACAUGAGUAAUAAUAUAUUUUUGAUCAUAGACCCCCCUAGGUUUCCCCGAAAUUAAUAUAAAAAUAGAACUUAGUUGGUUUGUUAUAUUCACUCGGGGGUUAAACAGCCCCUAAGAUUUUUGUUAAAAUUCCAUUUGGCAAUCAAUUAAUGGGGUACACACACGAUGAAUAAGACCGCCCUUAAAGAUUUGUAAGGGUUCAGGAAAUAUGUACAUCCAAAUUUAAUAUUCUAUUGAAUGAUAGAGAAAAAAGAUUAAUAUAUAAUGACUGUACUAAACUGAAAAAAGUGGGGGAAAAUGAAUGGAGACAAGUUUGCUUAAGGAACUCGGCAAAUCUGAAAAUACAAUAACUAUUCAAACUUAGUCAACCAAAUUAAGUAAGAAUAGUUAUAAAAUUGGGCAUCGGCUGUUUACCAAAAACAUAGCCCUCGGCCAAUAUGAAAAAUAAAAGUAUUGAGGGUGAUGCCUGCCCUAUGGUUGAAACUUAAAGGGGUGGAUUGCAAGUUUGCCCUGUAAGGUCAAUUAAAUGGCCGCGGUAACUCUGACCGUGAUAAUGUAGCGUAAUCAAUAGCCAAUUAAUUGUUGGCCAGUAUGAAUGGCGCCACGAAUGCCCCACUGUCUUAAGCAAAUACCCAGUGAAAUUGAAAUCGUAGUGAAGAUGCUACGCCGUAAUUGUAAGACGAAAAGACCCCGUUGAGCUUUACUGGCACACUUUUUAUUGCCCUCUCUAUUCUUGAUACCUUGUUAGACUCCAAAUGUUGGACACUAUAUCAAAGAACCAAAAAUAGAAUUAAUUAACAUAAGCGGAUUAGAUUAAGUGGAGCGCCCCCUAUUAUGGGCAAAUACUAAAACAUGAAACACCACUCCCUUAUGACUAAAGGGCUUACCCCUCCUCAGCCCAAACGAGGCUGUGGGGAGACAAUAAAAGUCGGACAGUUUGGUUGGGGCGACCACCUUUUAAAAAGUAACGAAGGUGCUCAUAUGGUAGCAACAUCGCAUGGCAGGUCUACCUGACUGUGAGGGGGACACCCCGAGCAGACACCCCCCUCUGUCACUAAAUUUAGUGAUCGUAUGGGGGGGUGGGACAUAGAGACCCAUUGGUUUUGAGUGAAAAAGAUAGCCAAUGAUCAACGGAUAAAAGUUACCACGGGGAUAACAGCGUAAUAUUUUUAGAGAGACUUCAUCGACGAAAAUGUUUGCGACCUCGAUGUUGAAUUGCGACUUCCUGGGGUGCAGCCGCUCCCAAGGGUUGGUCUGUUCGACCACAAAUGUCGUACAUGAUUUGAGUUAAAAGCGUGGUAACACAGCUUGGUUUCUAUCUGCAAUUAUUUUAUAAAUAAAAUUGUGAUUCUA
RNAcentral lists this ribosomal RNA (2614 nucleotides) under Nanozoanthus harenaceus. Its description in RNAcentral is "large subunit ribosomal RNA". It matches the Rfam family "Bacterial large subunit ribosomal RNA". Lineage: Eukaryota; Metazoa; Cnidaria; Anthozoa; Zoantharia; Nanozoanthidae. The record is from RNAcentral.